GUCCGGUGAUGAUACCAAGGCGAAUACGAGCUCACUGAAGGAGGGCUGGGUGUUUUUAGCCUUGACUGGCAGGUAAUCUUGGCAGUUCAGUGAAGGGUUGCUGUUCUGCUGUAAGGGCCUGCCUACAGUGACUUGGCCUAACCCAAAUUGUUAUUCCUUUAAAAAGUUAUUGUGGCGUACUUUGGGUUAUGCUGACAGUGUGUGUGUGUGUCUGUGUGUGUGGUGUGCAAAGGGUCAGAAACUUACCCAGCUCUCAUAUUUAUUCAGUGAGGCAUGAGUGUGUUCUUUGGUAAUCUGAGGGCA
Molecule: small nucleolar RNA, 303 nt
Filed under: Oryzias latipes (Japanese medaka)
Lineage: Eukaryota; Metazoa; Chordata; Actinopteri; Beloniformes; Adrianichthyidae
Source: RNAcentral